AAAAAGACAAACCUUGGGUUUCCAUGUCCAACUUUGACUGUCCAUCUUAUAUGAAAUUUUUUUAUAAUUUAUAUUUUCAUUAUUGUUAGAUGAUAAAACAUGAUUAAUAUUUUAUACAUGACUUGUCUUUUUAUUUUUUUUUUCAUAAUUUUUUCAAAUAAGAUGGACGAUCAAACAUUGGAUAUGGAAACCAGUGUUUGUCUUUUUU
Oryza glaberrima (African rice) is the source of this 208-nucleotide non-coding RNA. Lineage: Eukaryota; Viridiplantae; Streptophyta; Magnoliopsida; Poales; Poaceae. The record is from Rfam.